This 301-nucleotide ribosomal RNA is filed under the name uncultured bacterium. Its description in RNAcentral is "partial 16S ribosomal RNA". It matches the Rfam family "Bacterial small subunit ribosomal RNA", at positions 509 to 807 of the family's 1533-position model. The record is from RNAcentral.
CAGCAGCCGCGGUAAUACGAAGGGGGCUAGCGUUGCUCGGAAUCACUGGGCGUAAAGGGUGCGUAGGCGGGUCUUUAAGUCAGGGGUGAAAUCCUGGAGCUCAACUCCAGAACUGCCUUUGAUACUGAAGAUCUUGAGUUCGGGAGAGGUGAGUGGAACUGCGAGUGUAGAGGUGAAAUUCGUAGAUAUUCGCGAGAACACCAGUGGCGAAGGCGGCUCACUGGCCCGAUACUGACGCUGAGGCACGAAAGCGUGGGGAGCAAACAGGAUUAGAUACCCCCGUAGUCCCUGUCUCUUAUAC